This 119-nucleotide ribosomal RNA is filed under the name Echinostoma caproni. The record is from RNAcentral. Lineage: Eukaryota; Metazoa; Platyhelminthes; Trematoda; Plagiorchiida; Echinostomatidae.
AUCCGCGAUCAUACCAUGUUGGAAACACCGGCUCUCGUCUGAUCACCGAAGUUAAGCAACGUCAGGCCCGGUUAGUAUUUACAUGGUUGAUUGGCUGAGAACGCCGGGUGUUGCGGCCG